Molecule: small nuclear RNA, 107 nt
Filed under: Penaeus monodon (black tiger shrimp)
Lineage: Eukaryota; Metazoa; Arthropoda; Malacostraca; Decapoda; Penaeidae
Source: RNAcentral
AUACUUGCUUCGGCAGUACAUACACUAAAAUUGGAACGAUACAGAGAAGAUUAGCAUGGCCCUUGCGCAAGGAUUACACGCAAAAUCGUGGCAUCAAGAAGGCUAAG